This 253-nucleotide ribosomal RNA is filed under the name uncultured bacterium. Its description in RNAcentral is "partial 16S ribosomal RNA". It matches the Rfam family "Bacterial small subunit ribosomal RNA", at positions 524 to 776 of the family's 1533-position model. The record is from RNAcentral.
UACGUAGGGUGCAAGCGUUAAUCGGAUUUACUGGGCGUAAAGGGCGCGUAGGCGGCUUAACAAGUCACUUGUGAAAUCUCCGGGCUUAACUCGGAACGGCCAAGUGAAACUGUCAAGCUAGAGUGCAGAAGGGGCAAUCGGAAUUCCUGGUGUAGCGGUGAAAUGCGCAGAUAUCAGGAGGAACACCGGUGGCGAAGGCGGGUCUCUGGGCCGAUACUGACGCUGAGGAGCGAAAGCGUGGGGAGCGAACAGG